This 322-nucleotide ribosomal RNA is filed under the name uncultured eukaryote. RNAcentral describes it as "partial 18S ribosomal RNA". It matches the Rfam family "Eukaryotic small subunit ribosomal RNA", at positions 1470 to 1796 of the family's 1831-position model. The record is from RNAcentral.
CCCUUAGAUGUUCUGGGCCGCACGCGUGCUACACUGAGUGGAUCAGCGGGUCAGGUUACGCGAGAGCGUUUCCUAAUCUUCAAAUCCGCUCGUGAUGGAGAUUGACGGUUGCAAUUUUCCGUCAUGAACGAGGAAUACCUUGUAAGCGCGGGUCAUCAUCCCGCGCUGAAUACGUCCCUGCCCUUUGUACACACCGCCCGUCGCUCCUACCGAUUGAGUGGUCCGGUGAGGCUUUGGGAUCUAAGCGAAAAGAGCGUUUCGCUCCUUUUGCUGGGAGAACUCAGUCGAACCUUAUCAUUUAGAGGAAGGAGAAGUCGUAACA